This 338-nucleotide unclassified non-coding RNA is filed under the name soil metagenome. RNAcentral's name for it is "partial contains 5.8S ribosomal RNA, internal transcribed spacer 2, and large subunit ribosomal RNA". The stretch from base 1 to 120 matches the Rfam family "5.8S ribosomal RNA", at positions 35 to 154 of the family's 154-position model. The record is from RNAcentral.
GAUGAAGAACGCAGUGAAAUGCGAUAAGUAGUGUGAAUUGCAGAAUUCAGUGAAUCAUCGAAUCUUUGAACGCACAUUGCGCCCGGUAGUAUUCUGCCGGGCAUGCCUGUUCGAGCGUCAUUUCAACCAUCAAGCCCCAGCGCUUGUGUUGGGGGCCUGCGGCUGCCGCAGCCCCCUAAAAGCAGUGGCGGGCUCGCUAUCACACCGAGUGCAGUAGUUCAUCUUCUCUCCGGUCUUGUGAGGCGGGUUCCGGCCGUGAAACACCCCACUACAUUCAAGGUUGACCUCGGAUCAGGUAGGAAUACCCGCUGAACUUAAGCAUAUCAAUAAGCGGAGGA